RNAcentral lists this long non-coding RNA (833 nucleotides) under Marmota monax (woodchuck). The record is from RNAcentral. Lineage: Eukaryota; Metazoa; Chordata; Mammalia; Rodentia; Sciuridae.
CUUAUAUUAACACAGAAAAAAAAAACUAUUAAUAUAUAAAACAGAAUUAGGUUUCAGGCUAAUUUUUUUUAAUAUUUUUUAGUUGUUGAUGGACCUUUAUUUUAUUUAUUUGUAUGUGGUGCUGAGAAUCAAACCCAGUGCCUCACACAUGCUAGGCAAACACACUACCACUGAGCCACGAUCCCAGCCCCAAGACUAAUUUUUUAAAUAUUUAUUUUUUAGUUGUAGUUGGACACAAUACCUUUACUUAUUUAUAUGUGGUGCCGAGGCUCGAACCCAGGGCUUCACACGUGCCAGGCCAGCACUCCACCACUGAGCCACAAUCUCAGCCCAGGUUUCAGACUAAUUUUGAAGAGGUUUUCAUCAAUAUGAAUAUCAAACAUGAUAUCCAGAAUCCAUGCAGGAUGUGGGACUACUUUGUCCUUUGUAUUGCAGGAAAACUAAUAUCCACCCGACAUCUACUCAGUGCCAGAAGUAACUUCAUCAGUGAGACAACUAAAAGCAUCCACAUGCUUCUAGAUGCCCCUGGAGGGAUAAUUAUGCCCACUGAGGAUUUUUCUAGAAGUUUUCAGUCUAUUGUGUCUUAGCUUUUAGCACAUUGGAGCCUCACAAAACUGGAUGAAUAAGAGACUGGGGUUGUGGUUCAGUGGUAGAGUGCCUGCCUAGCACAUGUGAACGUCUCUUAUUUUGCACAUGUGAAUGAACUGGGUUCAGUCCUCAGCACCACAUAAAAAUAAAUAAAGAUAUUGUGUCCACAUAUAAUAAAAAAAUAUUUUUAAAAAAACUGGGUGAAUAAGUACUAUGUAACUUAUGUCAUUCUGUACAUGAGCAAA